GGUGGUUUGAAAGCAAAGCCUCAAUUUGCAGUCAAGAUUAAUAAAUCUGAUAUUCCCAUGGGUGGCGAUAGAGCAUUUGGCGCUUAUCUGCCUCCAAAACCUCAAAGCUCUGGUAAGGAAUCAGAAUUAAAGCCUUAUUAGAAUAUAGUUAUUUACAAAAUUAUUCCUGCUGAGAUAUUUACUGUGCUAGUGUCUGUUUCCUAAGAUAAUCUGAUGUUGAAGAGAUAGAAAUAUGAGCCAGGCACAAGGACUGAUGAAUUCAGUAUGAUGAUGCAUCCCUUUCUUAUGGAAUAUAUGUGGCAUGAUUCCUCUUGAUAAUUCAACAGCUUUUUAGGUGUUCACUUGAUAAUAUAUUUUGAAAUUGGCCUGUAUAUUAGCUUAAUUAAAAACCUUAUGCAUUGUUUCCUUGAACUUUGAUAUAUCAGACGUAUAAAUGCUGUGUAGUUCAAGAUGUGUCAAGACUAUUCUUUUAUUGGGUUGACAAUUUCAAAUGCAGUAACCUUCUGAAACUAAAUUUGUAACCAAGGCCACAUUUAGUAUCCUGCAUUCCUUAGUCACUUAUGGGAUCAUCCUCAAUUUGCAAACCAUUGAUCAAUUUGUAAGCCUGAAUUGUCAAAAUUUGAGUUAUAGCUUAUCUUAUGUUAGAUCACCAUGGAAUUGAUGGACAUGAUUGUGGUGG
RNAcentral lists this unclassified non-coding RNA (679 nucleotides) under Hevea brasiliensis (rubber tree). The record is from RNAcentral. Lineage: Eukaryota; Viridiplantae; Streptophyta; Magnoliopsida; Malpighiales; Euphorbiaceae.